Long non-coding RNA from Mugil cephalus (flathead mullet), 1387 nucleotides. RefSeq lists it as uncharacterized. Lineage: Eukaryota; Metazoa; Chordata; Actinopteri; Mugiliformes; Mugilidae. The transcript is spliced from 3 exons. The record is from RefSeq and is a predicted model, not a curated record.
UGUAGUGAGGGAGUGAUGCGGGGCUGGGAACUUCCAGGAGAGGGACGUGCAAUUACUGGUUGAUGCGGUCCACCUGUGUGGGGAGGAGACUCACCUGGGUUGGAGCUGAAAAGAAAAGAGGCAGUGGGGAAGAAAAAAGACAGACAGCAAGACGUGGGGAGCAGUCGGCCUGAGCGGUUUUUGAGCAGUGGCACUGUGGCGGCUGGGUGCUUGUUGUGUAUUGAUGUGCUGAAGAAAGAAGUGAUCACCACUGACAAGUCUUAUCUUCGCUCCAACAGUCACCUUAUAUAUGACGCUCAUCCCCAAAAACCCCCAUUCAUAAACAAAGAAAUUAUAUCCUUACAUCUAGUUAGUUUUACGAGCUGGCAUUUGGGAAAUGAUCUUUUGACCUUUAAACUUUGUACACACUUCGCAAACCCCCAAAACAGGAAAAGGGACAGAAGAGAAAAACAAGAAGACCAUAUACUACAUGCUGUUCGCAGCUUACAGUGCUGCCGGCAGUAAAGACAGCUGAGUAAGGGAGUUUGUCGUGUUGAUCAGUCCUGUAUUAAGAGAGGAGGUCAGAAACAUCCUUUAGGUAGCUCCAAGUCUGCCAGCUGAGCAGCCCAACUCCCCACAUCGGCCAGACCCCACGAGUGGGUCUCGUCCCCAGGCCAGGGCAGGAUAAGUCAUUGGUUUUAAUUAUAUUCAUAUAAACUACCUGUGUGUUGUCCUGUUAGUUAAUGUCCGUGUCAAUAUUAUUUCGUUUUAAGAAAGGAUUUUAAUGUAUUGACGUAACUGUGCUAGCGGUCUCCUUUUAGAGCAAUUUACUGUCCGUGCAGCGCUCUACAAACCCCACUUUUGUCACUAGGGGGAGCCCUAGUGACAAAAGUGGAGUUUGACCCGCAUAUGUUUGCAGUGGUCCCUAUGGAGCCAGUGUGAUUUGUAGCUCCCCUUGUGUGUAGUGCUCCAGUUCAGUUGCUGUGCAGUGGUUCCUGUGUGCAGUGUGUCUUUGUGUGGUGUGUGUUCUGCUUGUUUGCAGUGUUGGUGUUGCAGGAUGGUGGAGUACCUGCCUGGCCUGCUGGAGCUGCCCUUGUUGCCCUGUGGGCUGCAGGCGUCCCUUAAUUAAAUUCAUUAAAAUGAAGAUUCAUCUACUUCCAUACUUACCUGUCUGCGAGAGGAGCUCAGCGUCUGUCACUGAGUGUCCAUCCAGAGUCCAGCUGUACUGAGGACUGUCCCCUCCAUCAGAGGAGCAGGACACCCUCUUCUCUCCAUGGGACAGACACUCAGAGACCAGAUGGACAGAGGACACCGGAGCUAAGAGAAACACAUACAGAUGACUUUUGAUAACAAGAGAGGAGCUCAGCGUCUGUCACUGAGUGUCCAUCCAGAGUCCAGCUGUACUGAG